AUGUACAAUAAUGUUGUGACAAGUGUUCGAACAAGUGAUGUCGACACCGAUGACUUCCCGAUUAAGAUAGGACUGUAUCAGGGGUCAGCUUUGAGCCCUUAUCUUUUUGCAUUGGUGAUGGAUGAGGUCACAAGGGGUAUACAAGGAGAUAUCCCAUGGUGUAUGCUCUUUGCGGAUGAUGUGGUGCUAGUUGACGAUAGUCGGACGGGGGUAAAUAGGAAGUUAGAGUUAUGGAGACAAACCUUGGAAUCGAAAGGGUUUAGGCUUAGUAGAACUAAAAUCGAGUACAUGAUGUGCGGUUUCAGUACUACUAGCUGUGAGGAGGAGGAGGUUAGCCUUGAUGGCCAGGUGGUACCUCGGAAGGACACCUUUCGGUAUUUGGGGUCAAUGUUGCAGGAGGAUGGGGGUAUUGAUGAAGAUGUGAACCAUCGAAUCAAAGCCGGAUGGAUGAAGUGGCGCCAAGCUUCUGGCAUUCUCUGUGACAAGAGAGUGCCACAAAAGUUAAAAGGCAAGUUCUACAGGACGGCGGUUCGACCCGCAAUGUUGUAUGGCGCGGAGUGUUGGCCGACUAAAAGGCGACAUGUUCAACAGUUAGGUGUGGCGGAGAUGCGUAUGUUGAGAUGGAUGUGUGGCCACACGAGGAAGGAUUGA
RNAcentral lists this ribosomal RNA (651 nucleotides) under Triticum aestivum (bread wheat). RNAcentral describes it as "partial small subunit ribosomal RNA". Lineage: Eukaryota; Viridiplantae; Streptophyta; Magnoliopsida; Poales; Poaceae. The record is from RNAcentral.